UGAGGAACAUGACCUUCGGCGGGGGAUAGCCGGCCCAACGGCCGGGUAAUACCGCGUACGACCACAUGGGGACAUCCCUGAGUGGUGAAAGCAGCAAUGCGCCGAUGGAGUGCCUCGCGGCCUAUCAGCUAGUUGGUGAGGUAACGGCUCACCAAGGCAACGACGGGUAGCUGGUCUGAGAAGAUGGCCAGCCACAUUGGGACUGAGACACGGCCCAGACCUNUACGGGGAGG
This 233-nucleotide ribosomal RNA is filed under the name uncultured bacterium. RNAcentral's name for it is "partial 16S ribosomal RNA". It matches the Rfam family "Bacterial small subunit ribosomal RNA", at positions 118 to 348 of the family's 1533-position model. The record is from RNAcentral.